ACAGUAUGAAAACCAAUAAAUUUUUCAGACAAAAUCCUUUUUUAAGUCCUGUUCCGAACGGAUUUGGUAGGAUUUGGAAGUACUAUUUCUUCUAGCAAAAAUUCGUCCGCCUUUAGUCCAGACGAAACGCCAGUUUUUAUUACGGCCAAGCUGCUCACGAGCAAGAUGGAAUAGUUUCCGGUUUUUUAUAUUAAUGUUUAAAAGUUUAAGACUGUCUGCCUUGCCUACCUCAUUCAUGAGUUUAAGCGUCACAUGUUAUUUACUGUAAUAUACUUAUUUGUUAUAAAAUUAAAUGGAAAUAAUAAAUCUGAUAAAUUUUUAUUUUGUAUUGAUUUCUGCUUAACAUCAAGUGUAAGAACAUUUUAAUUAAUUGUGUUCAACGUACUUCCUCUUCAAAUCUCAAUCCUGUGAAUUUGUAUACCAACAUCAACAUUUUCGUCUUUGUAAUAAUUUCAUUGUACUAAAGGGUUAUAGUAGUAGAAAGUCAAAUAAGUAGAUCACCAUAUUUUUUUACGAAUACCAUCUGUGUGAAAAAGCAUAGUGGACUCCGUGACUGAUGUUCUCUUAUCGUUCCUCUUAGAUUGUUUACUAUAAUGUAAUAUAACAAAAACUUUAGCCACAGCAACGCGUGGCCGGGUCAGCUAGUCAAAUAUAUAUAUUGCAACAUUCACUUCCACUGGUCCAUCGCAAAGCACAAACAUUACUGAUCCACUGACUCAAGACAUUGUGUCGUACCAUUGUCCCAUUAUAUUCGAAAUUAAUAGCCUCAUCCCGCGACCACUUUAAAUACGGUCAUGCCAAUUGGCUAUAUUUAUAUAAUGGGCUAAUUAUAAAAAACAUAUUAACGAAGCCCUCCCGUUCCUCGGCUCCUUAAGGUUACACCAACUCCAAUUAGUGGACAACGCCAUACAAACUGACUGACGCUAUAAGCCAGUAACGCGAACGUCCCGACUUUCACACCAAAACACACGAACAAACUCCCACACGACUAAUUAAAUAAAAAAACCGAUACCGACACACGCAUAGAGACUACACACGCGUCGGUUUAACACUAUUAUCAAUUCACUUCAAUACCAAAUAUCUUUUAAAAUCAAAUUUCUAACUCCCAACGAAUGAAACAAAAAGGUCCAAUCGCUUAACACCUACGACAAUUCCCUAUGGCAGUUCGCGAGUCGCCUUAAAAAUGUGGGAUAGGGAGGGUGAAUAGCGCUUACUGGGUAAUUCGCUCACCUCUGUAACUCUGUUAAAAUUGAACCUAGCAAUAUGCCACGUCCCAUGAAGUGCGAGGGAACGGGAUCUCUAAUGUAGGCCAUACACGCUACGGUCUACCGGAGAGGUAAUCUGUGCAGGUUAUGCCUGCGCAGGUAGACCGGAAUGUGUGUGGGAAUAGACCUGUGCAGGUUUUUGAACCUGCGCAGGCGACCGGCGCAAGAUCGAAAAUCGAUUCUUUCCAGUGACACCGUACGGUGUACCUGUGCGUGUGUGCGUGUACUCCGGUCGCCUGCGCAGGUCGAGUCAGUUGUUUCCUAGUGUUUCUUUCAGACGGUUGUCUCAUCGCUCGCAUCUUAUUGCCAGAAAAUGGCGCCACCAGAUUCAACUAAAAAAAUCCUUGAAGAUUUUAUCGAAAUGUAUAGAAGUAAUCCAUGUCUUUGGCAAAUUAAAAACAAAGAUUACCAUAAUCGAGACAAAAAAGAAGCUGCUUAUAAAUUACUAAUAGACUUGAGAGAAAUUGAGCCAGGUGCGAACAAAGAUGUAGUUGUGAAAAAGAUCAAUAACUUAAGAAGCUAUGUUAGGAAGGAAAAGAAGAAAUAUGAGCAAUCUUUAAAGUCUGGGGCAUCUGCUGAUGAUGUGUACCGUAUUAAACUGUGAUACUACGAUUUGUUCAAUUUCAUUCAUGAUCAAUGCACUCCAAGGGAAUCUUCAUCCAACUUAGAUAGUGAUGACGAAAAUAGUUGUGAGAAAGACAACACUGAAGACUCUUCAAAUGCCGCUGAAGAAUAUUCAUCCAACAGCGUAUCUACCGACAACGAGGCUCGAUCAACAUCGUCAAAUAAUAAUAAUUCAUCUCGCCCACCAAAACCUUGUAAAACAAAAAGAAAAGAUGAAAGCUUAGCAAAUGAAGUAUUGGAAUCGGUACGAGAUCACUUUAAGCGUCCUCGCCCAAUUGUAACAGAAGAUAGGUGCGAUAUUAUUGGAAAAAAUGUGGCGAUGAAAUUGAAGGCUUUAGAUGCGAAACAAAUAAUAGUCGCAGAAAAACUUAUAAAUGAUUUACUUUUUGAAGCAGAAAUAGGAAACCUCACUCCCGAGCAUGCCUAUAUUAACAUGAGAGAUAUUUUGAAACAAAAUCAACGAAGCUAUGUUCCUGCUCAGCAAUAUCGACAACAUGCAUAUCAGUCCUCUCCUAAUUACAAUAGGGCAUAUACCCCUGUAAGUUUUGUUUCUUCCGGAAGUCCUAGUCCACCCUGCCUUCCAUUUCCCACUAGUCAAAAUUCAGAGUAUAUUCUCAAUCAUUUCAUACUAGCCAUCUACUCAACAGUUCCCAAGGCAAUCCUUACUCGCCACAAAUACGAACACCUACAAUUCCAGGAAAUCAGCCCAAUGAAACAGAUGUAGUUUUAUCGAUUCCAGAUUCGGCAGCGACAUUCCUUAAUAAUUUCAAUGUUGAUAAUUAAUAAUUUGUACGCGACAGUUUUGUACUUUAAUGAUUAAAAUUAAAAUCGUAUUUUUUUCAAUAAAUAUUAUCUGUAAUA
Molecule: long non-coding RNA, 2750 nt
Organism: Leptidea sinapis
Lineage: Eukaryota; Metazoa; Arthropoda; Insecta; Lepidoptera; Pieridae
Exons: 2
Source: RefSeq, a predicted model, not a curated record